Molecule: ribosomal RNA, 253 nt
Filed under: uncultured bacterium
Lineage: Bacteria
Description: partial 16S ribosomal RNA
Rfam family: Bacterial small subunit ribosomal RNA
Source: RNAcentral
UACAGGGGGUGCAAGCGUUGCUCGGAAUCAUUGGGCGUAAAGCGCACGUAGGCGGUUCGUUAUGUCGGAUGUGAAAGCCCUUGGCUUAACCGAGGAAGUGCAUCCGAAACUGACGAGCUUGAGUGCCGGAGAGGGUCGCGGAAUUCCCGGUGUAGAGGUGAAAUUCGUAGAUAUCGGGAGGAACACCAGUGGCGAAGGCGGCGACCUGGACGGACACUGACGCUGAGACGCGAAAGCGUGGGGAGCAAACAGG